Molecule: ribosomal RNA, 465 nt
Filed under: uncultured bacterium
Lineage: Bacteria
Description: partial 16S ribosomal RNA
Rfam family: Bacterial small subunit ribosomal RNA
Source: RNAcentral
GAUGAACGCUGGCGGCGUGCUUAACACAUGCAAGUCGAACGAUGAAGCCCAGCUUGCUGGGUGGAUUAGUGGCGAACGGGUGAGUAACACGUGAGUAACCUGCCCUUAACUCUGGGAUAAGCCUGGGAAACUGGGUCUAAUACCGGAUAGGAGCGUCCACCGCAUGGUGGGUGUUGGAAAGAUUUAUCGGUUUUGGAUGGACUCGCGGCCUAUCAGCUUGUUGGUGAGGUAAUGGCUCACCAAGGCGACGACGGGUAGCCGGCCUGAGAGGGUGACCGGCCACACUGGGACUGAGACACGGCCCAGACUCCUACGGGAGGCAGCAGUGGGGAAUAUGGCACAAUGGGCGCAAGCCUGAUGCAGCGACGCCGCGUGAGGGAUGACGGCCUUCGGGUUGUAAACCUCUUUCAGUAGGGAAGAAGCGAAAGUGACGGUACCUGCAGAAGAAGCACCGGCUAACUACGU